UUUAACAUCAAACUCAGAUGUUGAGCGUGAAGGAUAACGUUGCGUCAGCGACGGCCCGUAGGGCGAGGCGAAGCCGAGUCAUCCUGCACGACCCACCA
This 98-nucleotide small RNA is filed under the name Salmonella enterica. RNAcentral describes it as "partial RtT sRNA". It matches the Rfam family "RtT RNA", at positions 48 to 130 of the family's 130-position model. Rfam says of the family: This family represents a bacterial cis-regulatory element known as RtT RNA. The exact function of RtT is unknown although it is thought that it may be involved in changing the cellular response in relation to amino acid starvation. The record is from RNAcentral. RNAcentral also lists the same sequence under 1 other name. Lineage: Bacteria; Pseudomonadati; Pseudomonadota; Gammaproteobacteria; Enterobacterales; Enterobacteriaceae.